UUAUUGGAGGCUUGAAUGAAAGGUUUGACGGAGGAGAAGCUGUCUUGCUUGUUGGAAUUGAAUUUAACUUUUGUGUGAAAAGGCAUUAAUGGUUUAGAGGGACGAUAAGACCCUAUAAAACUUUACAUAUUGAUAUUGUUUGAUAAAAUAGUUUAAUUAAUUAUUGAGUGGUAGGUUGUGUUUUGCUGGGGCGGCAGAGAUAUAAUUCUAACUGUUUUAAAUAUGAAAUAUUUAUUAAUAGAGAGUGGUCCUUUAUUUAAGAGGUAAGAAUAAGUUACUUUAGGGAUAACAGCAUAAUUUUUUUUGAGAGUUCUUAUCGAAGAUAAUAGUUGUGACCUCGAUGAGGUGUAGGAGCUUAUAAGAGAGGGGCCUGUUCGGCCUAUAAAUAUUUACGUGAUCUGAGUUCA
This 407-nucleotide ribosomal RNA is filed under the name Synalpheus thele. RNAcentral's name for it is "partial 16S ribosomal RNA". Lineage: Eukaryota; Metazoa; Arthropoda; Malacostraca; Decapoda; Alpheidae. The record is from RNAcentral.